This 504-nucleotide ribosomal RNA is filed under the name uncultured bacterium. RNAcentral's name for it is "partial 16S ribosomal RNA". It matches the Rfam family "Bacterial small subunit ribosomal RNA", at positions 28 to 506 of the family's 1533-position model. The record is from RNAcentral.
GACGAACGCUGGCGGCGUGCCUAAUACAUGCAAGUAGAACGCACAGUUUAUACCGUAGCUUGCUACACCAUAGACUGUGAGUUGCGAACGGGUGAGUAACGCGUAGGUAACCUGCCUGGUAGCGGGGGAUAACUAUUGGAAACGAUAGCUAAUACCGCAUAAUAUUAAUUAUUGCAUGAUAAUUAAUUGAAAGGUGCAAUUGAACCACUACCAGAUGGACCUGCGUUGUAUUAGCUAGUAGGUGAGGUAACGGCUCACCUAGGCGACGAUACAUAGCCGACGUGAGUGGGUGAUAGGCCACACUGGGACUGAGACACGGCCCAGACUCCUACGGGAGGCAGCAGUAGGGAAUCUUCGGCAAUGGACGAAAGUAUGACCGAGCAACGCCGCGUGAGUGAAGAAGGUUUUCGGAUCGUAAAGCUCUGUUGUAAGAGAAGAACGGGUGUGAGAGUGGAAAGUUCACACUGGGACGGUAUCUUAACAGAAAGGGACGGCUAACUACGU